GUUUGCAUUAUCGGGCGAGUCUUCCUUGGCAGUGUUCGAAUCUGCAGUGCUGCAACAUUAAAUCGAUCACUGCCAAAGGAGAUUUGCCCAGCGAUGCAAUU
RNAcentral lists this microRNA precursor (101 nucleotides) under Leersia perrieri. RNAcentral's name for it is "pre miRNA mir-399". It matches the Rfam family "mir-399 microRNA precursor family". Rfam says of the family: mir-399 was identified in both Arabidopsis thaliana and Oryza sativa computationally and was later experimentally verified. mir-399 is thought to target mRNAs coding for a phosphatase transporter. The mature sequence is excised from the 3' arm of the hairpin. Lineage: Eukaryota; Viridiplantae; Streptophyta; Magnoliopsida; Poales; Poaceae. The record is from Rfam by way of RNAcentral.